AAUUUCUCGCCAAUAUUACGCUGCCGCUGUCUUCCUCUGUUGCCUCCUCUUCAUCUCCUUCUGCCGCAAGUCCCUCGUUUUAGGAAUCAAAUUAAUAGGAGAAAAUGGAGGGCUAUAUGGAGGAUAGUAGAGUGUUGUUAUCUCAAUUGAAGCAGCAAGAUAAUGACCUAAGGCUCAAAAGAAGGUGGUUAAUGGACUUGCAUUUAUCGGAACGAGAGCGAAAAAAGAUGGAAAGACUCAAACCUCACGCUGAUAUGUGAGAACCUUCUUUUGUCUUUAAAUUUUCUAUAUCUUUUUGUAAAACUCUUCUUUUCCACUUCUUGGAUUAUGUAUGUCCUAGUUAGUAAUAGUAUCUCUCCCUAGAAAAGGCAUGUUAGUCGUUGCACUGCUUUCAUAUUAUUGAAUAUUUGCAAAAUUGACUGUUCAAAUGAAUGCACAGAUAUUGGGAUGCAAUUGUCUGUGAAUUUCAUUAUAGUUUUCAGGACUAUCCUUUUACGAAAUUUCUUCUUCUUUUAUUAGCUUUGGGUAAGUUAGGGAAGUCGUG
This is a non-coding RNA of Nicotiana tabacum (common tobacco), 544 nucleotides long. The record is from RefSeq and is a predicted model, not a curated record. NCBI's taxonomy places the organism in Eukaryota, Viridiplantae, Streptophyta, Magnoliopsida, Solanales, Solanaceae.